GAUGAAGAACGUAGCGAAAUGCGAUAAGUAGUGUGAAUUGCAGAAUUCAGUGAAUCAUCGAAUCUUUGAACGCACAUUGCGCCCUUUGGUAUUCCUUAGGGCAUGCCUGUUCGAGCGUCAUUUAAACCUUCAAGCUAAGCUUGGUGUUGGGUGACUGUCCGCUUCACGGCGGACUCGCCUCAAAAUUAUUGGCGGCCGGUACAUUGGCUUCGAGCGCAGCAGAAACGCGAACUCGGGCCCGUCGUAUUGGCUCCCAGAAGCUAUCUUCACAAUUUUGACCUCGGAUCAGGUAGGGAUACCCGCUGAACUUAGGCAUAUCAAUAAGCGGAGGA
Molecule: unclassified non-coding RNA, 332 nt
Filed under: soil metagenome
Description: partial contains 5.8S ribosomal RNA, internal transcribed spacer 2, and large subunit ribosomal RNA
Rfam family: 5.8S ribosomal RNA (bases 1-120)
Source: RNAcentral